RNAcentral lists this unclassified non-coding RNA (400 nucleotides) under uncultured Blastocladiomycota. RNAcentral's name for it is "sequence contains ITS1". The stretch from base 1 to 103 matches the Rfam family "5.8S ribosomal RNA", at positions 50 to 154 of the family's 154-position model. The record is from RNAcentral. Lineage: Eukaryota; Fungi; Blastocladiomycota.
GAAAUGCGAUACGUAAUGUGAAUUGCAGAUCCGUGACUCAUCGAAAUUUUGAACGCACAUUGCACCUAGUGGCAUUCCGCUAGGUAUGCUUGUUUGAGGGUCUGUUUAUUUUCUCUUGAACGUGAAAAUCGCAAGGUUUUUACGGCUCAAGGACUUGGUCUUGUGGAAAUUUAAUUUCCACUUGGCUUUAAUUCAGACCGUGGUCUUUAAAUCCCACGCUUUUAGCGGCGAGGGGUGCUAGACAUAUCCAUAUCAGCCAACUUGUUGGUUUACCUUGGGUAAGUUCUACACUCUGGACGCAAAAAUGCAUGGUUUUUUUACUUGGACCCCAUCGGGAAGAAAAACCUAGUUUUUUAAAACCCACUUGGACCUCAAAUCAAGCAAGGCUACCCGCUGAACU